CCUACGGGAGGCUGCAGUGAGGAAUAUUGGUCAAUGGGCGAGAGCCUGAACCAGCCAAGUCGCGUGAGGGAGUACUGCCCUAUGGGUUGUAAACCUCUUUUGUCGGGGAGCAAAAGCCGGACGUGUCCGGCUGUGAGAGUACCCGAAGAAAAAGCAUCGGCUAACUCCGUGCCAGCAGCCGCGGUAAUACGGAGGAUGCGAGCGUUAUCCGGAUUUAUUGGGGUUAAAGGUUGCGCAGGCGGAUUUUUAAGUCAGCGGUCAAAUCGUGGGGCUCAACCCCAUCCAGCCGUUGAAACUGGGGAUCUAGAGUGUGCGAGAGGUAUGCGGAAUGCGUGGUGUAGCGGUGAAAUGCAUAGAUAUCACGCAGAACCCCGAUUGCGAAGGCAGCAUACCGGUGCACAACUGACGCUCAGGCACGAAAGCGUGGGUAUCGAACAGGAUUAGAUACCCGGGUAGUC
This 458-nucleotide ribosomal RNA is filed under the name uncultured bacterium. Its description in RNAcentral is "partial 16S ribosomal RNA". It matches the Rfam family "Bacterial small subunit ribosomal RNA", at positions 338 to 795 of the family's 1533-position model. The record is from RNAcentral.